ACUGCCUGCCCAGUGACAACCGUUNAACGGCCGCGGUAUCCUGACCGUGCANAGGUAGCAUAAUCACUUGUUCUCUAAAUAAGGACUUGUAUGAAUGGCCACACGAGGGUUUUACUGUCUCUUACUUCCAAUCAGUGAAAUUGACCUUCCCGUGAAGAGGCGGGAAUAUAAUAAUAAGACGAGAAGACCCUAUGGAGCUUUAACUACUUAGCCCAAAGAAACAAAAUUUACUUCCAAGGAAACAACAACAUUCUUUAUGGGUUAACAGCUUUGGUUGGGGUGACCUCGGAGAAUAAAAAAACNUCCGAGCGAUUUUAAAGACCAGACCCACAAGUCAAAUCACAUAAUCGCUUAUUGAUCCAAAAAAUUGAUCAACGGAACAAGUUACCCUAGGGAUAACAGCGCAAUCCUAUUCAAGAGUCCAUAUCGACAAUAGGGUUUACGACCUCGAUGUUGGAUCAGGACAUCCUGAUGGUGCAACCGAUAUCAAAGGUU
This 495-nucleotide ribosomal RNA is filed under the name Muntiacus putaoensis (Leaf deer). Its description in RNAcentral is "partial 16S ribosomal RNA". It matches the Rfam family "Bacterial large subunit ribosomal RNA", at positions 1854 to 2573 of the family's 2925-position model. The record is from RNAcentral. Lineage: Eukaryota; Metazoa; Chordata; Mammalia; Artiodactyla; Cervidae.